UAGGUGAAGACAAGGCUAUACAAUUCUUUUUAAUUAGUGGCUUAUGUGCUUCCUUUCACCUAACAUGCCUGGAUUGAAGCCUGCAGAUUGGAUUUUAUGUUACCAAACAAAACAUGCUUAUUAUAUGGAGAAUUUCAGAUGGUUUCAUGUUAUCAUGCACUUGUCCUUGCAAUUUGUUGUCACCUUCGGUCUACCGUUAGUUCUUAUCUGGUAGAGCAUUAUAAGCAAUAGAUAAACCUGCCUUGACCCAUUCUUUUGUCAUCUACAUGGCAUCUAAUUCUAAUUUGUUUUCAUAUAUGCAUGGCCUUGUCCUCCAAAAUGGAAGGAAACUACUGAUCAUUUGGCACAUAUUUCGAGUCUUUUUCAGAUCGCUAUCCUCCCUUGGACCCUCAA
RNAcentral lists this long non-coding RNA (393 nucleotides) under Phoenix dactylifera (date palm). RNAcentral describes it as "long non-coding RNA (PDAC_LNC001118)". The record is from RNAcentral. Lineage: Eukaryota; Viridiplantae; Streptophyta; Magnoliopsida; Arecales; Arecaceae.